This 255-nucleotide ribosomal RNA is filed under the name uncultured bacterium. RNAcentral's name for it is "partial 16S ribosomal RNA". It matches the Rfam family "Bacterial small subunit ribosomal RNA", at positions 524 to 776 of the family's 1533-position model. The record is from RNAcentral.
CACGUAGGGGGCGAGCGUUGUCCGGAUUUAUUGGGCGUAAAGAGCUCGUAGGCGGUGUGUCACGUCGGCCGUGAAAACCUGCAGCUUAACUGUGGGCGUGCGGUCGAUACGGGCAUCACUGGAGUUCGGCAGGGGAGACUGGAAUUCCUGGUGUAGCGGUGAAAUGCGUAGAGAUCAUGAGGAAGACCAGUGGCGAAGGCGGGUCUCUGGACAGUUCCUGACACUGAGGCACGAAGGCCCAGGGGAGCAAACGGG